Molecule: long non-coding RNA, 309 nt
Filed under: Malus domestica (apple)
Lineage: Eukaryota; Viridiplantae; Streptophyta; Magnoliopsida; Rosales; Rosaceae
Description: long non-coding RNA (MDOM_LNC007419)
Source: RNAcentral
CACAUUAUUAAAACACUGAAUUUUACAAGACGGCAUUGUUUUCACCAUGCAAUUAAGUCUUAGAAUACAGAUUCCUUCAAACAAUACAGGUUUCUUUACAAAUUACAACUCAAGAUUAAGCUGGUAUUCCUGAGUUUUGACAUUGAGUCAUAUUCCUGAGUUUUGACACUGGCUUGACUCAAGCACAACGAAUUUAACAACUCCUGCAAUCCAGAAAAGACACCCUGUAAGAAAAUCACCCAACACAACUCACCAAGUUAAAUGAACAAAAAAACACUUUGCAACGAAACCCAUUUUACUCGGUCGUCA